GAUGAACGCUGGCGGCGUGCUUAACACAUGCAAGUCGAACGAAGCACUUUAUUUGAUUUCCUUCGGGACUGAUUAUUUUGUGACUGAGUGGCGGACGGGUGAGUAACGCGUGGGUAACCUGCCUUGUACAGGGGGAUAACAGUUGGAAACGGCUGCUAAUACCGCAUAAGCGCACAGCAUCGCAUGAUGCAGUGUGAAAAACUCCGGUGGUAUAAGAUGGACCCGCGUUGGAUUAGCUAGUUGGUGAGGUAACGGCCCACCAAGGCGACGAUCCAUAGCCGAGCAGAGAGGGUGACCGGCCACAUUUGGACUGAGACACGGCCCAAACUCCUACGGGAGGCAGCAGUGGGGAAUAUUGCACAAUGGGCGAAAGCCUGAUGCAGCGACGCCGCGUGAGCGAAGAAGUAUUUCGGGAUGUAAAGCUCUAUCAGCAGGGAAGAUAAUGACGGUACCUGACUAAGAAGCACCGGCUAAAUACGUG
This 481-nucleotide ribosomal RNA is filed under the name uncultured bacterium. Its description in RNAcentral is "partial 16S ribosomal RNA". It matches the Rfam family "Bacterial small subunit ribosomal RNA", at positions 28 to 507 of the family's 1533-position model. The record is from RNAcentral.